CUGCGUUGGAGUGAACUUCGCGUUGAAGAUUUGAGAUAAAAUAUAUAUAUGCUGAUAAGGAAGCAGGACUGCUGAAAGACUCAAGCAUGGCGGUACCUUUUGUGCAGGACUGGGACCUGAUCCAAACGCUGGGAGAAGGAGCAUAUGGAGAGGUGAGGCUGUUAGUGAACCGACAGACAGGAGAGGCUGU
Molecule: long non-coding RNA, 190 nt
Organism: Coregonus clupeaformis (lake whitefish)
Lineage: Eukaryota; Metazoa; Chordata; Actinopteri; Salmoniformes; Salmonidae
Exons: 3
Source: RefSeq, a predicted model, not a curated record